GCGGCCGCGGACAGAGGUAACCGCUGCGUCGUCCGGCGCACGGGACUCAGCCUGGAGCGGCCACCCGCGUUCGCGUCGGUGAGGAGCGGCCGGGCGGCGCCAGCGCCAUCCCUCGGGGAACCGAAGGGAUCCGGGCGGGCCUCGCGGGCCGCGCUGCCGCGAGCGGCGACGCAGUGCUGGAGAUCAAAUUCAGUUGACUAUUUAAAAUACACCAAUUACUGUUUACUGCUUCUGCGGCCAACAUCUCGUGUGUGGUCGGUCAGCCUGUUUGCUCUGCUCUGAGGAGAAGCUGCUUAACUUCAGACAACCUCUGUGGUCGGUUCCUGGGAUCCUUUUCUGACUUUCCACAAACUGUCUAAUGAAAUUGAAGGUUUCGAAAGAUGUCUAAAGCUUAGUGGCCACAUCUAUCGUCUGUCUUCUGACCCUUAAAAAAAAAAAAACAAAGAAUAAAUGGGAUGUUUCAGAAGAGAGCUAUUUAAAAGGAAGAGUGUUGCAAAUGGCUUCAGAAUCUACCAAUGGGAAGCUAGCUAGGAGUCACGUGACAAAGGGGCGGCGUCAGCAGCAGCAGCAGCAGCAGGUGAGGAGCCGGUCCUCUGUCAGCGAGUGCGAUGGCGACGACUCCUUCAUCUUCGAAGCCAACGAGGCCUGGAAGGACUUUCACGGCUCUCU
Molecule: long non-coding RNA, 669 nt
Filed under: Rattus norvegicus (Norway rat)
Lineage: Eukaryota; Metazoa; Chordata; Mammalia; Rodentia; Muridae
Description: long non-coding RNA NONRATT009201
Source: RNAcentral